AUCACCAAAAGUCUUUUCUCUCUUUAAAAGAUAUUCUUAUUUUCCACCCGUCUUCGACAGCAACUUUAUUUUCACCAAAAAGAAUCGAUGUGGAAAAUGUCUUCCCUUCCACACAGUUCACUGCAGACAUGUGAAAAGCUGCAACGGACAUUCCUGGCUUUACUCAAGUUUCUCAGGAAAGGGCUCCACAGAGAAAUAAUUCCUUCCAGGGACUUCAAGCUAUGACCUUGGGGACUGAAAUCUGGAGACAAAGGGAAUGGGUGUUUGCCUUCACCUCAUGAAACAGACAAUGCUUCAGUCUAUACCAGCUCACACAAAGAGAAAAAGUUCACACAGGUAUGC
Molecule: long non-coding RNA, 342 nt
Filed under: Homo sapiens (human)
Lineage: Eukaryota; Metazoa; Chordata; Mammalia; Primates; Hominidae
Description: HSALNT0279658
Source: RNAcentral